Molecule: ribosomal RNA, 466 nt
Filed under: uncultured bacterium
Lineage: Bacteria
Description: partial 16S ribosomal RNA
Rfam family: Bacterial small subunit ribosomal RNA
Source: RNAcentral
GACGAACGCUGGCGGCGUGCUUAAUACAUGCAAGUCGACUGGAACGGUCCAGCUUGCUGGGUACUCGAGUGGCCAAAGGGUGAGUAACCCGUGGGUUAAUCGCCCUUCACUUUUGGCUUAGCUCAGGAAAAUCGGUCCUAUACCGGAUUUAAUCAACUGCCGCACGGUGGUUGGUGGAAAGAUUAUGCGGCUGCGGAUGGGCCCGCGGCGUGUCAGUUUGUUGGUGGGGUAAUGGCCUACCAGGGCGACGACGGGUAGCCGCCCUAAGAGGAUGAUCGGCCACACAGGGACUAGAACACGGCCCGAACUCGUACGAGGGGCAGCAGUGGGGUAGAAUAAACAAUGAACGCAAGCCGGAUGCAGCGGCACCGCGUGAUGUAGGACGGCCUUCUGGUUGUAGACCUCUAACACCAGGGACGAAGCGUAAGUGACGGUACCUGGAGAAGAAGCACCGGCCAACUACGUG